AUAUUGGACAAUGGGGGCAACCCUGAUCCAGCCAUGCCGCGCGUGUAAAGAAGGUCUUGGGAUUUUAAAGCACUUUAAUUUGGGAGGAAGGGCUUUAGGUUAAUACCUUGAAUUUUUCACGUUACCAACAGAAAAAGCCCCGGCUAACUCUGUGCCGUCGGCCGCGGUAAUACAGAGGGUGCAAGCGUUAAUCGGAAUUAGUGGGCGUAAAGCGCGCGUAGGUGGUUCAGUAAGAUGGGUGUGAAAUCCCCGGGCUUAACCUGGGAACUGCUUUCAUAACUGCUGAGCUAGAGUACGGUAGAGGGUAGUGGAAUUUCCUGUGUAGCGGUGAAAUGCGUAGAUAUAGGAAGGAACACCAGUGGCGAAGGCGACUACCUGGACUGAUACUGACACUGAGGUGCGAAAGCGUGGGGAGCAAAC
Molecule: ribosomal RNA, 420 nt
Filed under: uncultured bacterium
Lineage: Bacteria
Description: partial 16S ribosomal RNA
Rfam family: Bacterial small subunit ribosomal RNA
Source: RNAcentral